UACCAGGAUUUACAUUAUUCUUAGCCACAGGCAUAUUUUCCACCAGCUUUUAACAACCCACCACCUCCUUUUCCCCUUCCCUCCCACACAAUAACUGGGAUGACUUGUCUAGAUCUUAGGCAACAAUUCUCUUAGCACAUCAGCUCCUGGAAACAAAUGCACUUAACCAGAAAAACAGGGACAUCAACCAGCAAAGAUGCAUCCUCAUUUAAUAGAGCUUGAAAUUACUAUAAUCUGUAAAGUACAGCGAGAAGAAGAAGUUUCACCUGCCUGCACAUCUGUCGUUGACUCUCCAUCUGACUUGGAGGGACUCUGAGGGACCAACCUGAGCCUGAGAAGAGGCAAGAUUCCCCUUCAAGGACACACUGGGAACUUACGGACCUCUUUCUCCAUGGUGCAGAGCGCAGAGGUGAACAAACAGACGCAUAAUAGCUCUUGAGCUUGCCAUUGGGAAGUGAAAAUCAACUGCUUGAAUAAAUGUAAGGACUCAGGUAGACAUCACCUUGUGACUCAACAGCAGCCAAUAAGAUGGAAAUAAAGGCCAUGAAGUUAUCGGAUGGCAUCUACAAGGAAUACUUAGAUGAGGAGGUGACUCUGGUAGCAAUUGUUCUUUUGUCUUUCUCACCUUCCUUCUUGUCCUGUCUGGGAUGCUGAAGUGAUGGCUGGUAUACAGAUGCCCUGUUGUGAUGUUGAGAUAAACAUGAGAAUAAAAGUCGGCGAUUACAGAUGGCAGAGAAGAGAGAGAAAGAUAGGAUGUAGGUGGAUAUUGACGGAACUAAGUUUCUAUUGCACAAGUUCUACCACCAACCUCUGGACUUCAUGAUAUGUGAGGGAGAAAUAAACUCCUAUUUUAGAAGAGAUCUAUGUUACCUGCAACUGAACGGAAUGCUUAAUUGGCACAUCCUAUGUGCUCCAAACCUUCCUUAAUUUCUGUGUGUAAGGCAUACUUAGUCUUUACCCAUUAUUCUGUUCACAUUCAUUCACUUGAUCAGCCUCCCAACUCUAUGGUAAAGAGUUUACUACAGUUUACUCUAUUAGUAAGGGAGAUUCUGGAGCAAGCCCCACAAAUCAUAGAUUGAAUACCCAUUCAUUAAGAGAGAGAUUUAAAGAUACUUCUAUCCAAACACAUUUUAAAUUUCCAGCACCUUUGAGGUGGUGGAGGUUCAUGGUGGUUGAUAGGGUUUAAAUGACUUGUGAUUCAAGCUCCAUAUUACAAUGUAACAGUGCAAAAGUUCAUUUUUUUAAAUUUAUUUUACUUUAAGUUCUGGUAUACAUGUGUAGAACAUGCGGGUUUGUUACAUAGGUAUACAUGUGCCAUGGUGGUUUGCUGCACCUAUCAAACCGUCACCUAGGUUUUAAGAACCACAUGCAUUAGGUAUUUGACCUAAUGCUCUCCCUCAUGUUGCCCCCCAACUCCCUGACAGGGCCCAGUGUGUGAUGUUCCCCUCCCUGUGUCCAUGUGUUCUCAUUGUUCAACUCCCACUUAUGAGUGAGAACAUGUGGUGUUUGAUUUUCUGUUCCUGUGUUAGUUUGCUGAGAAUGAUGGCUUCCAGCUUCAUCCAUGUCCCUGCAAAGGACACGAACUCAUUCUUUUUUAUGGCUUCAUAAUAUUCCAUGAGUCUGGAUUUGGUUACAGAUAGAGCUGGACAAGCCUUAGCUAUAUCUAAUGGCUUUUGACAUGUUAUAUCAAUUUCUUACUGCUUUUGUAAAUGAAUAUAUUAAGAAGAAAAAAUUACAAAUGACCCUUUCUUCACAAACUUUUAGGGUAAUCAAGUUCAGUUAUUAAAAAAUGGAUGUUUGCAACAUUCAUAGUAAUUAUUUUCAGAAAAUUAAAAAUGAUUAAAAAUUAUAUUUUCAUCCCAUUCAGAUAUUAUAUAUUUAACUGUGAGAUAAUUCUCAGAGAUAAAUGUCAACUUUUAAAAAAUGCUAAAUAAAUUAAAUCAAAAUAUCCCCUCUAAAAUAAAUAAAUUAGCUCCGAUUAUUUCUUCUUUUUAAAUUUUUCCUUAUAGUUGUAAAAAUAAAGUGAACGUUUUGGCUCAUUUCCUCAUUAAAGUUUGAAUUUUCCAGUCA
This 2070-nucleotide long non-coding RNA is filed under the name Homo sapiens (human). RNAcentral describes it as "long intergenic non-protein coding RNA 507". The record is from RNAcentral. Lineage: Eukaryota; Metazoa; Chordata; Mammalia; Primates; Hominidae.